UUGACUCUGAGCUGAUACCAUUCAUUUAUAGCUCGCUCUGUUUAAACCCUCUAACUUCUCUUUAAGCAUGUCUCUUCAUAUUACUUACUUAUUCGUAACCGUAACAGUUCUCUUAAGUGUCGGCGUUAAUUGUGCAGACCAUGUCUCACAGAAGCCGGUUACAAUAGCGCAGAUUGAAGGAGAUUCGGUGACUAUUCAUUUCAGCUAUUCAACCACUGCUGAUUCAUAUUCCUUACAAUUGUACCGCCAAGAUCCGGGUACACCUCCGACAUUCUUGAUCUACAUCCCUAAAUACGGAAAUGUCUUCAAAGCAAAAGACGUUGGCGAUCGAUUUUCUGCAUCUCUGAACACUUCCAGUACGGAGGGGAAUUUUACCAUCAGCAGACUUCAGCUGUCUGACAGCGCGAUGUAUUACUGUGCGCUGAGAGACACAGUGACUGGAAGUAGAGGGAGUCUCGUACAUAAACACCGCCCCAAUGUAACAAAGUGCAAAGUGUGA
Molecule: non-coding RNA, 499 nt
Organism: Chiloscyllium plagiosum (whitespotted bambooshark)
Lineage: Eukaryota; Metazoa; Chordata; Chondrichthyes; Orectolobiformes; Hemiscylliidae
Source: the annotation of a RefSeq genome assembly